Molecule: long non-coding RNA, 2242 nt
Organism: Apis dorsata (giant honeybee)
Lineage: Eukaryota; Metazoa; Arthropoda; Insecta; Hymenoptera; Apidae
Exons: 4
Source: RefSeq, a predicted model, not a curated record
AAAAAAAAACCAAUCACAAUUUGCGUAUAUAUUUACAAAUCCCUACAUCGGUUAGUUGAUCGCACAUAAAAUCUGGCUUUGCUGAUAAGAGAUCCCCGUUUACGUGUGCGUCUUCUCUCUCGUGCAUACACGCAAGAUUUCCUCGUCGUGUAUCGCGUAUCUCUUUAUCCUUGUUCCAUAUCUUUCCCUCUCUCUUUCUCUCUCGUACUCACGUCUAAACGUGUAUACGCGCACGCAGAUGCCGCGUGUCGAUGUGGGUAGGGUUAUUAGCCCAGAAAGCAAGGCCCCUGCUUCCGGUGUAGGCACUUUAGUUCGAGAGUUUCUUAACCCCUUCUUACACGACUUCUUGCUGGCCUGCCCUGGCCUAAGACUCUGCCCCGACUUGGCCUGUUGUCGGUUGCGGGUGGUAGAAUUUCUCGUCGAGAACGAACUCCUGGGUCUACGACGAAACACUCUCUUAUACUUGCAUUUGUGUGCACGGUAUGAACGGAUCGUAGGGUAGGUAGAUAUACUAGGUUAGGUCGGCACAGUGGCGAACCGAACAAUUUUUCCCGCGGUCUAAGGUGGACCCGACAUCGAACGAUCGUAAAUUUCGCGAAACAGAGGGCGCACGACUCUGACUCGCGAUCUUGCUUAUCGUACGCUACCAUGAUACUGAUGCAGAUUUUACCGUGUUGUUUUGGGAUAGUCUGUUAAUAUACAGGAUGAAAGAGAAAAAAAUUUUAAAUUUGGAAUUUUAUAUUAAAAUGUAAAAUAGAAGGAAGAAAAAAUAAAUAUUAAUAAACAGAUCAUUUGUCGUAUAAUAGAAUCGUCAAAAGAAUUACAGGGAAAUACUCGGUGAUAGGUUAAUGGACGUAAAAAAUGAACAGGCUGGCGUAAAGCGGCAGAGAGAUACGAGCCUCGACGAUGAUAGAUAUGGUUUAACCAGUCGUAAUUGUUUUGCGUUCGCUCUUAAUUGGGGCUACUUGUUCGUUACGUUUCUUCCGAAUGGGUAAGAAGCUAUGAAGUUUUAAUAAAUGCCUUGAUCGAGCUGUUAACAUGUUCUGUGGGGAAACAGGUAAAAAAAAAAAUCUUCAAUUCGUUAGUCAGCUUGUAUCAUCAUUAAUAAUAAACACAAAAAACGAAGAAUAAUGGAAUCAUAACUUGAAUUCACAAAUCGAUCGUAAAAUAAAGGUUAUUUUUUAUCUCUCUUUCUCUCUCUUGAUUCAUUGUUUCACUUCAACGAUGUAUUGCAGUUUUAUUAUUGAUUCAAAUGAACAAGACCAUUGGAUAGCCAGACUUUCCACAUCCUGUGUUUAGACUUUCUGAGUGAUUUCUAGGUCAGAUAACAAUUGGAAUAACUCGAUUGAAUUGGUAUACCGAUCAGUGAGACGGCAAAGGUGGUCGGCUCGCUUUCGAAAGUGAUGACCCCAGGGAGCGGUAAAGAUGCGUGCAGGUGCUUCCUCCUUGCAUUUUAUACCUAGAACAACACUAAUGCGAUGAAGAUUAGCUUACUUAAGUUCCCAUGAACUAUUUUUGAGCUUAAUCGUUUGCACUGAUCUCCUGUUAUACGUUGUAUACGUACGCCAGCUAGGUUGUAAUAGAUAAUUACUCCUGCGACCAGGUAGGGGGAUAGACGUUCCUGGAUCGCUAAUGAGCUUCUGGAAUAUUAUCGAUGCUCACGGUAAUGCUUAUAACUGCUUUUCAACUGAGAUUGUAAAUUUUCCGUUGUUCACUGAUUUCUGAGGGAAAGAUGCACGCCGAUUAUGCAUUGGUGGAAUAUAAUAGUGUUUUAAAGAAACACUGUUGCUUCUGAACGAAGAAUUAUCAAUAGAUUUGCCAGAAUGAAGCGAAGACGGACAUAUAUAUACUCAGAAAUGCAAAGAUAUUCAAAUAAUUGCUUCUUACGAAAUAGAAAUGAAUAUCGUAUAAUUCUUGGAAGGAAAAUAAACUGUAUAUUCUUCUUGAAUUCCAGAUGAUUAAAGCGCAAGCAUUAAGAUUUGUACAUAAAUACUCGAUCUUGCGUAAUAGAAAAACAUUGAAUUGUGAUCCCUUGACGAACUCGAAAAAAUUACAUGGCGAAAACUAUUGCAACGUCGGAAGUGGCAAUGCUCGGGAAGCGUACGGUUCUCAAAGGGUUAAUUGGGCAUAGUAAUUCUUCAGGUGACCAAGCUCCAUGGGAGUGGAACGGAGAAAACCCAGUUUUAUGCUUCGCAUUAAGUGCUUAUAUCUAUAUCUUUAUGUUGUAUCUGCUAAUUUAUAA